UGGCAACAUUUGUGAAUUUUUCAAUCAACGUUUCAUUGGAAAAAUUCCUUUAAUCCAAAACAUCUCGCAACACCUUGUACAACAUCAUACAUCAUCUAUUGCAACAUCUCGAUUUUGCAGUUGCAAUAUCCCAAACCCAGAAUAAAAUCAUCAUCAACCUUCGUCAAAAAAAUCAUCAUCAACCAUGCAACAUAAAAAAAGUCACUGCUGUAACAUAUCAGAUUAAAUAUUGUAACAUCAAAAAAUUGAACAUAGUAUAGAACAUCUCAAAAAUCAAUCUUGCAACAUUAGCCAACACUACUCAAAACAUCUCAAAAUACCUAUUGCAACAUCACAAAAUCUUAAUGCUACAUGGAUGAUUGGUGCCUCUCAUGGUGGAGUCUUCUUCCUCCUGGAGCAUGAUAGUGACCACCAUGGAGUCUUCCCCGCGCCUGCCGCCCGCCGCUACCCUCCACGCACAUAGCAACCUAUGCUCACUUCACUAGCACCUACUUGCUGCCACCGCCACCAGCCUUGCCACCACGUGCCUCUGCCCACACGUGACUCUUUACUUGCUGGCUGCUGCCGUCGCCGGCCUCACAUGCCGACGGCCCCACCGCUCGCGCUUGUGCCUGCCAGGCUCAUGCGCCGCCGGCCCCGCCACGCGUCGUGCGUGGCCUGUGACGAUGAGGCUCCGCGGCGCACCGGUGGCCCCUAGCCGCGGGGGAGCGGCGGCUGGCGCUCAAGCGGCCGCACGACGGAGCAACUCCCUCCGCAGCGGAGCAGCUCCUCCAGCCAGCUUUGGAGAGAGCUUUGGAGAGAGGGAGAUAGAGAGAGCUCGUGUGGAUAAAGAAGAAAGAUCAUGGGAGAGAGAUGG
Molecule: long non-coding RNA, 856 nt
Filed under: Setaria italica (foxtail millet)
Lineage: Eukaryota; Viridiplantae; Streptophyta; Magnoliopsida; Poales; Poaceae
Description: long non-coding RNA (SITA_LNC000590)
Source: RNAcentral